This 211-nucleotide long non-coding RNA is filed under the name Ananas comosus (pineapple). RNAcentral's name for it is "long non-coding RNA (ACOM_LNC029311)". The record is from RNAcentral. Lineage: Eukaryota; Viridiplantae; Streptophyta; Magnoliopsida; Poales; Bromeliaceae.
AAGCUAGCUCGAAGCAACUCCCUUCCCGCGAUCCCUGGCCUCACCCUGCGUGAAAGGCUCUGAAAAAAAACAUCGAGAAAAAGAGGGCGUGAGAACUAUAAUUUAUAGUUCCCAGUGGGCAAUUACUGACCUCAGCUCAAUGCACCACUAGGCCCCAAAAGAAAAGGGUAAGUACAGUAAUAAUAGCAAUAAUAACUGCGAUAUGAAAGCA